CCUACGGGUGGCAGCAGUGAGGAAUAUUGGUCAAUGGCCGAGAGGCUGAACCAGCCACGUCGCGUGAGGGAAGAAGGCUCUACGGGUUGUAAACCUCUUCUGUCGGGGAGCAAAGCGAGUCACGUGUGCCGCCUUGCGAUUACCCGAAGUAAAAGCAUCGGCUAACCCCGUGCCAGCACCCGCGGGACGAGGGGGGAUGCGAGCGUUAUAGGGAUUGGAUGGGGUUAAAGGGUGCGCGGGCGGAGGUGAAAGUCAGCGGGCAAAUUGCGGGGCGCACCCCCGCACUGCCGUUGAAACUGCAUCACUUGAGUGCGCGAGAGGUAUGCGGAAUGCGUGGUGUAGCGGUGAAAUGCGUAGAUAUCACGCAGAACUCCGGUUGCGAAGGCAGCAUACCGGCGCGCAACUGACGCUGAUGCACGAAAGCGUGGGGAUCGAACAGGAUUAGAUACCCGUGUAGUC
Molecule: ribosomal RNA, 459 nt
Filed under: uncultured bacterium
Lineage: Bacteria
Description: partial 16S ribosomal RNA
Rfam family: Bacterial small subunit ribosomal RNA
Source: RNAcentral